GAUGAACGCUGGCGGCGUGCCUAAUACAUGCGAGUCGAGCGAACAGACGAGGAGCUUGCUCCUCUGACGUUAGCGGCGGACGGGUGAGUAACACGUGGAUAACCUACCUAUAAGACUGGGAUAACUUCGGGAAACCGGAGCUAAUACCGGAUAAUAUAUUGAACCGCAUGGUUCAAUAGUGAAAGACGGUUUUGCUGUCACUUAUAGAUGGAUCCGCGCCGCAUUAGCUAGUUGGUAAGGUAACGGCUUACCAAGGCAACGAUGCGUAGCCGACCUGAGAGGGUGAUCGGCCACACUGGAACUGAGACACGGUCCAGACUCCUACGGGAGGCAGCAGUAGGGAAUCUUCCGCAAUGGGCGAAAGCCUGACGGAGCAACGCCGCGUGAGUGAUGAAGGUCUUCGGAUCGUAAAACUCUGUUAUUAGGGAAGAACAAAUGUGUAAGUAACUAUGCACGUCUUGACGGUACCUAAUCAGAAAGUCACGGCUAACUACGUG
RNAcentral lists this ribosomal RNA (497 nucleotides) under uncultured bacterium. RNAcentral describes it as "partial 16S ribosomal RNA". It matches the Rfam family "Bacterial small subunit ribosomal RNA", at positions 28 to 507 of the family's 1533-position model. The record is from RNAcentral.